Molecule: ribosomal RNA, 253 nt
Filed under: uncultured bacterium
Lineage: Bacteria
Description: partial 16S ribosomal RNA
Rfam family: Bacterial small subunit ribosomal RNA
Source: RNAcentral
UACGUAGGGUGCGAGCGUUGUCCGGAAUUAUUGGGCGUAAAGAGCUCGUAGGCGGCCUGUCGCGUCGGUUGUGAAAGCCCGGGGCUUAACCCCGGGUCUGCAGUCGAUACGGGCAGGCUAGAGUUCGGUAGGGGAGAUCGGAAUUCCUGGUGUAGCGGUGAAAUGCGCAGAUAUCAGGAGGAACACCGGUGGCGAAGGCGGAUCUCUGGGCCGAUACUGACGCUGAGGAGCGAAAGCGUGGGGAGCAAACAGG